RNAcentral lists this ribosomal RNA (433 nucleotides) under uncultured bacterium. Its description in RNAcentral is "partial 16S ribosomal RNA". It matches the Rfam family "Bacterial small subunit ribosomal RNA", at positions 29 to 507 of the family's 1533-position model. The record is from RNAcentral.
AACGAACGCUGGCGGCAUGCCUAACACAUGCAAGUCGAACGAGACCUUCGGGUCUAGUGGCGCACGGGUGCGUAACGCGUUGGAACCUGCCCUUAGGUUCGGAAUAACUCCCCGAAAGGGGUGCUAAUACCGGAUAAUGUCUUCGGACCAACGAUUUAUCGACUUUGGAUGGGCCCGCGUUGGAUUACCUAGUUGGUAGGGUAAAAGCCUACCAAGGCGACGAUCCAUAGCUGGUCUGAGAGAAUGAUCAGCCACACUGGGACUGAGACACGGCCCAGACUCCUACGGGAGGCAGCAGUGGGGAAUAUUGGACAAUGGGCGAAAGCCUGAUCCAGCAAUGCCGCGUGAGUGAUGAAGGCCUUAGGGUUGUAAAGCUCUUUUACCCGGGAUGAUAAUGACAGUACCGGGAGAAUAAGCUCCGGCUAACUCCGUG